AUAUACGCUCGUCUCAAAGGUUAAGCCAUGCAUGUCUAAGUACAAACCAAAAUAAGGUGAAACCGCAAAAGGCUCAGUAUAACAGCUGUAAUUUCUUGGAUCAUAUUCCCAGUUACUUGGAUAACUGUGGAAAAUCUAGAGCUAAUACAUGCAAACAAUACAAGUGACCGUCAAAAGUCUCUUGUGCAGUUAUUAGACAAACCAAUCGACCUUAACCGGUUGUUUCAUUUGGUGGAACUCUAGAUAACUUUGCUGAUCGUAUGGCCACUGUGCCGACGACAGAUCUUUCAAAUGUCUGCCCUAUCAACUAUUGAUGGUAGUAUAGAGGACUACCAUGGUUGCUACGGGUAACGGGGAAUCAGGGUUCGAUUCCGGAGAGGGAGCCUGAGAAAUGGCUACCACAUCUAAGGAAGGCAGCAGGCGCGUAAAUUACCCACUCCCGGCACGGGGAGGUAGUGACGAAAAAUAACAAUAUAGAACUAGUUAACUAUGUUCUGUAAUUGGAAUGAGUUAAUUAUAAAUCCUUUAACAAGGAUCUAGUGGAGGGCAAGUCUGGUGCCAGCAGCCGCGGUAAUUCCAGCUCCACUAGCGUAUAUUAAAAUUGUUGCGGUUAAAACGUUCGAAGUUGAUUAUUGUCCAGUACGGGUGCUGCACCAUCAAGUUAUGGUUGCAGUCAUUUCCGAUUACUUGGACUAUAUGACUGAACACUAUUAAUGAAUAGCGAGACGCCUUUAAUUAGGUUAUCGUCUAUUUAGUUCAGCUUACUAUUACCUUGAACAAAUUAAGGUGCUCAAAGCAGGCUUUAUAUGCCUUGAAUAUUUUUGCAUGGAAUAAUGGAAAAAGACCUCGGUCUUAUAUAUU
Molecule: ribosomal RNA, 861 nt
Filed under: Chironomidae sp. Chiro_H6
Lineage: Eukaryota; Metazoa; Arthropoda; Insecta; Diptera; Chironomidae
Description: bacterial SSU rRNA
Rfam family: Eukaryotic small subunit ribosomal RNA
Source: RNAcentral